ACUUCAUCAGUAACUAACGCAUUCAGCGGCACUGGGAUCAAACCACGAGACACUCUUUAAAGAUGAAGUACACGCUACUGUUGAUACUACUUGUGGCCAUCACGGUCAACCACCAGACAGAGGCUUGGGGACGAUGGAGGUGGAGGAAAGCCGCCGCCAUAGCAGGCAUAUUAGCCGGCAAGCGAGAUCUGUCCGAGUCUGACACCAACAAGGACGGACAUGUGGACGAGUCUGAACUAGAAGACUUGUUUAAAACGCGGGAAGCUCGGGACAUCUUGGAGAGAGCUGGUGGUAAAGACGGAAAAAAGAAAAUAUCUUUGAAAGAUUUCGAAAAACUAAUGAAAGAGAUAAACAAUCUGGAAUAAAUAGAUACAGACAAGCUCUAACUGAAUAUCAAGAAGUGACAGUCAAUGAGACACCGUCUGUGUAGACAGAAAUAAAAUUUGCAACAACAAAA
Molecule: long non-coding RNA, 457 nt
Organism: Gigantopelta aegis
Lineage: Eukaryota; Metazoa; Mollusca; Gastropoda; Neomphalida; Peltospiridae
Exons: 5
Source: RefSeq, a predicted model, not a curated record